CUCAUCCACUGCCCCUUCCCUCCCCCCCAGGCCAACCAGGCUCCCACUUUUUAAUAAUUUGGAGUGUAUUGGAUGCAAAAAAAGUAAAAAAAGAAAAAAUCAGCUUUGUUGCCUUCUGUGAAGAGGUUUUGGGGAGGAGGAGGUGUUUUGUCUCUUGCUCAUCCUCCAGACAGGCCCUCCUGGGGUACAAGCCCAAUGUUGAGUUAUUUCUCUAUUUUUUUCCUGUGUUGAAAGCUGAUGUCCCCGGGCUGUGUUGAUUUUGGUGGCCCCAGAUGGCCUCAGCUCAAUGGUGCAGGAGCUGGGGUGGGACCUACAGGUGCCCUGGAGCCUGGCUGGGCAGCAGGUCCCAUCUAACCCCCCUCGCUGCCUCCUGCCUGCAUCAGCUCUGCCCGCUCACCCUUGGAAUGCCCCAAGGACCUGGAGUCCCUUCCUCUUGCUGCAGCUUCACCCUGGGUGCUGCUGCCGGGCUGGGGGAUGCCGGGCAUCCAUGGGGAUGCUGAGGCCGGGGUGCCCCGAGGGAUGGGGGCAGUGAUGUGGAAGCCAAGUAUGGCUUUUUCCUUUUCUUUUAGAAUUACUAUCUUUACUGUGACUAAACACCUGCUUUAAUGAUAUUUGCAGCUUGUUCUUUAGCAAGUUUGGGACUAUGAACAAGUGCAAAGUGCACAAAGAGUCACUUUGAAGGCUACUGUGGCUGUGCUCUUCUCUUUCCUGCUUUGGUUCCUGAAUCCAGACAGUGCUUGCUCAGGGUUUUCUUCCUUCUUUGUAUUUCCAUAGGGAAAGGGGGCGGGAGGAGAGGAUAACCCAACUUUUGGCCAUUUGUUUUGUUUUCUUUGAUACUUGAAGCAGUUUUUUGCAUCGUAGUAACAAAGCUGCCUGGCGCUUAGCCUGGUCCACUGCUCCAGGAAAAGAAAUCAGUGAUGGGGUGGUUCCUGCCUCAUGUCUGGCACAGAUUCUGGUUUUUGGCUUGACAUGGCUUGGCUUGGGUAGACCAUGAUGCCCUGGACCAGUUGACCUGCCGGUGGUGAGGGCUGGUGAGGGUGGCAGCGUGAUGAGCUGCGGAGAGGUGUGUGAUGCUUCAGAGGAGUGGGGACGGGCAGGGCCAGGGGCUCUAUUUGCACUUUACCCACGUCAGCAAAUAAAACUCGUGCUCUUGCUGAAGCCCAGAGCUGGGGCAGCUCGUCCCGUGCCCGGCAGCACCAUGGGAGGAGGCUCCUUCUGCGCAGUGAUGCCUGUUGGUGCUUACCUGUACCGGGGGCAUGCAGCUGGAGGGCAAACAUGAGCAGGGGGUGUACUGGGGACCACAGAGCUGAGCUUGGGGUGCCCUUCUUCCCCAGCCAUCCCCAAGGAGGUGGAGUGGCCCAGGUCCUUGGCCAUGGGGGUGUCCCCAUUCCCCGGGAGCAGUUGCUGGGGUCCAGCUCUUGGGCAGCUCAGCCAGGCUGGAGGGACUGGGGGGGGCUAUUCCUCCACCACCUCCCCAACAGUUUGGGUUUGCCAAAAGCUUGAGGCAAACUGGGAGCGGAGCCGGGUGUCGGAGAUCAAAAGUCGUCCUGUGUGUGUCUGUGUGCGUAUAUAUAUAUAUUAUAUAAAUAUAUAUUAAAAGAGAUAAUGCAAAGGAUUCCUCCUCCUUUUUGGCACUUGCUGGGGCUGGUGAGCAGGCCGAGCCCCGCGGCCGGCCUCUGCAGUUGGCUGUAGGGAUUAACUCUGGACCAAACCCGAGCCCAGGCAGUCGGUCCUUGGCCAGUGGGGCCACCCCGGGGGCAGCAGCAGAAGUACUUGAAUGGCUUAGGACAGAGAGUCUGAAGAGAGUCAAGUUGCACAGUGAAAAUAUAUAUUUUUAUACCUAGCACAACUUCCUGUAUAUUUUGGGGGUUUUUCUUUCUUUUUCUUUUUUUUUUCCUUUUCCAUUUUCUUUCAUUUCUUUUUCUUUUUUUUUAUUAUUUGGGUUUGUUUUAUUAAUUAUUAUUAUUAGGAAGGCAAACUUCUAAAAUGUGAAGGGCGUUGGGUUUCUCCUUAUCUGGUAGAUGAGGGCAAGCAUUUUGCACUAAUGUUUCCUGUGUGUGGAGGAUUAAUGAUAUGUUUGAAAAUGUUACAUGGAAAUGAUUGUAUUCUUCCGAGAAAAAAAAAAAACCCUACAAAAACAACAAAAAAAAAAUAGAGUAACCCCUCUCAAACACUGAAUGUAAGGUGGGAACAGAGCAGUCAUCGAUUGUAUGCGGCUUUCCUGAGUGCCUUAGAAUUUUU
Molecule: long non-coding RNA, 2241 nt
Organism: Strigops habroptila (Kakapo)
Lineage: Eukaryota; Metazoa; Chordata; Aves; Psittaciformes; Psittacidae
Source: Ensembl